This 69-nucleotide transfer RNA is filed under the name Heterocephalus glaber (naked mole-rat). It matches the Rfam family "tRNA". Rfam says of the family: Transfer RNA (tRNA) molecules are approximately 80 nucleotides in length. Their secondary structure includes four short double-helical elements and three loops (D, anti-codon, and T loops). Lineage: Eukaryota; Metazoa; Chordata; Mammalia; Rodentia; Bathyergidae. The record is from Rfam by way of RNAcentral.
GGGGAUGUAGCUCAGCCGCACAGCACCUGCCCGGCAAGCAUGAGGCCCUGGGUUCAAUUCCCAGUACCA